This 563-nucleotide ribosomal RNA is filed under the name uncultured bacterium. Its description in RNAcentral is "bacterial SSU rRNA". It matches the Rfam family "Bacterial small subunit ribosomal RNA", at positions 828 to 1403 of the family's 1533-position model. The record is from RNAcentral.
GGGUUUAAAUCCGUCGGUACUGAAGCAAACGCGAUAAGUUCACCGCCUGGGGACUACGGCCGCAAGGUUAAAACUCAAAGGAAUUGACGGGGCCCCGCACAAGCAGCGGAGCGUGUGGUUUAAUUCGAUGCUACACGAAGAACCUUACCAGGGUUUGACAUGCUAGUGGUAGGAAGCCGAAAGGUGACCGACCCUUCGGGGAGCUAGCACAGGUGCUGCAUGGCUGUCGUCAGCUCGUGUCGUGAGAUGUUCGGUUAAGUCCGCUAACGAGCGCAACCCUCGCUGUGUGUUACAAGUGUCACGCAGAACUGCCGGUCUUAAGCCGGAGGAAGGUGGGGAUGACGUCAAGUCAGCAUGGCCUUUAUGUCCUGGGCUACACACACGCUACAAUGGUCAGCACAAUAGGUUGCUAAGCCGCAAGGUAGAGCCAAUCCUCAAAGUUGGCCUCAGUUCAGAUUGUAGGCUGCAACUCGCCUGCAUGAAGAUGGAGUUGCUAGUAAACGCAGGUCAGCUAUACUGCGUUGAAUACGUUCCCGGGGCUUGUACACACCGCCCGUAAGGGC